UGUUAAUUAUAAAAUUGUCUCCUACAAUCCAGUUUCUGUAAGAUUAUCAAAUAAAAAGUUGGCACUCAGAAGAACUUUUAAAACAUUGCAGUGUUACCGUAGCUACAUAACACAAAGAAACAAAUUAUUCGUAAUUUGUUUUAAAAUGUUGAUCUCCUUGGUGAUAUAACAAGUGAAAUAUUUCGUAAUUUGUUUCCAAAAGUUGAUCUCCUUGGUGAUAUCAUAACAAGUGAAAUACUUCAUAAUUUGAUUUCAAAAGUUGAUCUCCUUGAUGCAAUCAUAAUAAGUCAAAUUUGAUUUAAUCUGUGCACGAAAAAUGGCUAAAAAGGAGAAGAUGUAUCCGUACACACAAACUAUCGACGAGAUGAUAGAGACAGCUAAGGCUUUACAGAAGCAUAUCGAAGAGGUGAAGGCUAAAGCAAAGCAGAUUUUGAAGCAGGUCGAACAAAUAAACUGCAGCAAGGAGAAACCGACGACCCCUAAAUAAAACAUUUACAUAUACCUAAUAAAGACAAUGAUUGUUCUUACUGUUCUAAGGUUUUCUCAAUAAAUUUAUAAAAUAAA
Long non-coding RNA from Aethina tumida (small hive beetle), 564 nucleotides. RefSeq lists it as uncharacterized. Lineage: Eukaryota; Metazoa; Arthropoda; Insecta; Coleoptera; Nitidulidae. The transcript is spliced from 2 exons. The record is from RefSeq and is a predicted model, not a curated record.